AGCUAAUGAUUUAGAUUCAAAAAUUCAAUAGCAAGGAUGAAAGUGGUUUUAAUAGCAAACAACCAAGAAUUGUUCAUGUGACAAGAGCAGCAAAUUGUAGCCAGUCUAACAGUAACUGUUUAACGUGCACAGUCUGUCGAUCCUGGUGAUCAUGAGGAUUUAUCUCAAGUGGCAAAAUUAAUCGACAAAUAGUUUUAGUCACAAAACACAGGAGUUUAAAGAUUCCCAGUAAAGUGCUAAGUGUAUUUAUUAUGCCACACACAGUGCAUGGUAGUAACAUAGAACUAUCUUCAUUUGAAGCUUUGUUUGGUAGCAGGGGCAAAACUACCCCCUUUUAAUUUGGGAGUGUCUGCCAGAAUUGCCCUGCCCAAACCGAUGAUGCCCUGCAGCGAAUUUUCAUUU
Molecule: non-coding RNA, 402 nt
Organism: Paramuricea clavata
Lineage: Eukaryota; Metazoa; Cnidaria; Anthozoa; Malacalcyonacea; Plexauridae
Source: the annotation of a GenBank genome assembly